This 492-nucleotide ribosomal RNA is filed under the name uncultured bacterium. Its description in RNAcentral is "partial 16S ribosomal RNA". It matches the Rfam family "Bacterial small subunit ribosomal RNA", at positions 29 to 507 of the family's 1533-position model. The record is from RNAcentral.
AGUGAACGCUGGCGGUAGGCCUAACACAUGCAAGUCGAACGGCAGCACAGUAAGAGCUUGCUCUUACGGGUGGCGAGUGGCGGACGGGUGAGGAAUACAUCGGAAUCUACUUUUUCGUAGGGGAUAACGUAGGGAAACUUACGCUAAUACCGCAUACGACCUACGGGUGAAAGCAGGGGAUCUUCGGACCUUGCACGAUUGAAUGAGCCGAUGUCGGAUUAGCUAGUUGGCGGGGUAAAGGCCCACCAAGGCGACGAUCCGUAGCUGGUCUGAGAGGAUGAUCAGCCACACUGGAACUGAGACACGGUCCAGACUCCUACGGGAGGCAGCAGUGGGGAAUAUUGGACAAUGGGCGCAAGCCUGAUCCAGCCAUACCGCGUGGGUGAAGAAGGCCUUCGGGUUGUAAAGCCCUUUUGUUGGGAAAGAAAAGCAGCAGGUUAAUACCCCGCUGUUCUGACGGUACCCAAAGAAUAAGCACCGGCUAACUUCGUG